Molecule: long non-coding RNA, 347 nt
Filed under: Mytilus galloprovincialis (Mediterranean mussel)
Lineage: Eukaryota; Metazoa; Mollusca; Bivalvia; Mytilida; Mytilidae
Source: RNAcentral
AAAAUAAAAUGUUUGAUAACUUUUUCAAAUUGGCACAUUAUCUUUAGAAAUGCAUAGGGUCAAGAAAUAUAAAUGAAAAACAUUAAGAUUCUUAUGUGAUGACGUCACAAUUACGUCAUAAUAUGUACUGUUUCACAAAAAACUAUGAAAAUUCAGAAUUUUAUGCAGUUUUCUAUCUUUAUUUCUGUUGUGGAAACAUCGUGCGCAGCCAAGAAACAACAAAAUAAUUAACUGAAGCUUUAUUAUUACUAUUGACAAAAUCUCACCAAAUAUAAAGUUGUUUCUUGGUGCGCACAUACUUUUCCAAUCGAAAAUUUACUUAAAAAUUUGAUGUAAAACAAGGAAAA